GUCUACGGCCGUGCCACCUUGAACGAGCCCGAUGUCUGAUCUCGGAAGCUGAGCAAGGUCAGGCCUGGUUGGUACUUGGAUGGGGCCGUGCAUGGGGGGACCAGGUGCUGUAGGUG
RNAcentral lists this ribosomal RNA (116 nucleotides) under Pteropus alecto (black flying fox). The record is from RNAcentral. Lineage: Eukaryota; Metazoa; Chordata; Mammalia; Chiroptera; Pteropodidae.